UACGGAGGAUGCGAGCGUUAUCCGGAUUUAUUGGGUUUAAAGGGUGCGUAGGCGGGUUAUCAAGUCAGCGGUAAAAUACGGGGGCUCAACCUCCGCCCGCCGUUGAAACUGACGGUCUUGAGUGGGCGAGAAGUAUGCGGAAUGCGUGGUGUAGCGGUGAAAUGCAUAGAUAUUAGGAGGAACACCAGUGGCGAAGGCGGCCUGCUGGACGGUGACUGACGCUGAGGCUCGAAAGCGUGGGGAGCAAACAGG
This 252-nucleotide ribosomal RNA is filed under the name uncultured Bacteroidales bacterium. Its description in RNAcentral is "partial 16S ribosomal RNA". It matches the Rfam family "Bacterial small subunit ribosomal RNA", at positions 524 to 776 of the family's 1533-position model. Lineage: Bacteria; Pseudomonadati; Bacteroidota; Bacteroidia; Bacteroidales. The record is from RNAcentral.